AAGGAGGCAGAACUCUUUAGUCAAUGACUUGAGCUAUACACAUUGCUUAGACACACCAUGUGUUAAUCUAAGCCAGAGAGCAUCUGAUGCUCUGAGAAGAACCUGGAAAGCUACCAUGAAGGUCCCAGACCUCUCUCUGCACCAUCUGUGCCUCUUGAUGACUUGAAUCCUUGAAAUGACCAGUAAAGCUUGAUACUGAGUAGAAUUCCUGGUUCAUAUGGGACUGGGUUGACAAUCUCACCCUCUGUAUCAUUGCAGUAAUUUCUGGUAAAUUCUUCUGGAUGUUAACUGUCCUCAAAGUGUACAAGAAAUCCUGCUGGGACACAGAGACCAGGGCAUCAAAUCUCUUUAGAGCUGCCUGAUGCAAGGAACUACUGGUGUCUGACCAUACCAGGGAAGAGAACUCACAAAGAUCUACAACUGAGCUUGGUGUUUACUCUGGAUUUUGUGGAAUCAAAAUAUCAACUGGUGAACGCCAGAAAGAUACUUUUAAAAGGGUCUCUAGGUAAUUCUGAUGCCUCAGAAGCCUUGGAAACUACUCUUCCAGCAGCUCAGUAAAAUACCAU
Molecule: long non-coding RNA, 566 nt
Organism: Acinonyx jubatus (cheetah)
Lineage: Eukaryota; Metazoa; Chordata; Mammalia; Carnivora; Felidae
Exons: 3
Source: RefSeq, a predicted model, not a curated record